RNAcentral lists this ribosomal RNA (265 nucleotides) under uncultured bacterium. Its description in RNAcentral is "partial 16S ribosomal RNA". It matches the Rfam family "Bacterial small subunit ribosomal RNA", at positions 793 to 1055 of the family's 1533-position model. The record is from RNAcentral.
GUCCAUGCCGUAAACGAUGAAGACUGGCUGUUGGGCACCUACGGGUGUUUAGUAGCGAAGCUAACGCGUUAAGUCUUCCGCCUGGGGAGUACGGCCGCAAGGUUAAAACUCAAAGGAAUUGACGGGGGCCCCGCACAAGCGGUGGAACAUGUGGUUUAAUUCGACGCAACGCGAAGAACCUUACCUACCCUUGACAUCCUCGGAAUCUGCUAGAGAUAGCGGAGUGCCUUCGGGAGCCGAGAGACAGGUGCUGCAUGGCUGUCGU